GUGCUCGCUUCAGCAGCACAUAUACUAAAAUUGGAAUGAUACAGAGAAGAUUAGCAUGUCUUCCACACAAGGAUGUCAUGUAAAAAGUCAUCCUCUCU
Molecule: small nuclear RNA, 98 nt
Organism: Ailuropoda melanoleuca (giant panda)
Lineage: Eukaryota; Metazoa; Chordata; Mammalia; Carnivora; Ursidae
Source: Ensembl